GAUGAACGCUGGCGGCGUGCCUAAUACAUGCAAGUCGAGCGAACAGACGAGGAGCUUGCUCCUCUGACGUUAGCGGCGGACGGGUGAGUAACACGUGGAUAACCUACCUAUAAGACUGGGAUAACUUCGGGAAACCGGAGCUAAUACCGGAUAAUAUAUUGAACCGCAUGGUUCAAUAGUGAAAGACGGUUUUGCUGUCACUUAUAGAUGGAUCCGCGCCGCAUUAGCUAGUUGGUAAGGUAACGGCUUACCAAGGUAACGAUGCGUAGCCGACCUGAGAGGGUGAUCGGCCACACUGGAACUGAGACACGGUCCAGACUCCUACGGGAGGCAGCCGUAGGGAAUCUUCCGCAAUGGGCGAAAGCCUGACGGAGCAACGCCGCGUGAGUGAUGAAGGUCUUCGGAUCGUAAAACUCUGUUAUUAGGGAAGAACAAAUGUGUAAGUAACUAUGCACGUCUUGACGGUACCUAAUCAGAAAGCCACGGCUAACUACGUG
This 497-nucleotide ribosomal RNA is filed under the name uncultured bacterium. Its description in RNAcentral is "partial 16S ribosomal RNA". It matches the Rfam family "Bacterial small subunit ribosomal RNA", at positions 28 to 507 of the family's 1533-position model. The record is from RNAcentral.